CCUACGGGAGGCAGCAGUGAGGAAUAUUGGUCAAUGGCCGGAAGGCUGAACCAGCCAUGCCGCGUGAAGGUCAGUGCCCUAUGGGCGUUAAACUUCUUUUGUGCGGGAGCAAUAAUGGUCACGUGUGGCCAGACGAGAGUACCGUACGAAUAAGCAUCGGCUAACUCCGUGCCAGCAGCCGCGGUAAUACGGGGGAUGCAAGCGUUAGCCGGAAUUAUUGGGUUUAAAGGGUGCGUAGGCUGUGAGGUAAGUCAGCGGUGAAAUGCCCCCGCUCAACGGGGUGAAGUGCCAUUGAUACUGCCUGGCUGGAAUGCGGAUGCCGUGGGAGGAAUGUGUGGUGUAGCGGUGAAAUGCAUAGAUAUCACACAGAACACCGAUUGCGAAGGCAUCUCACGAAUCCGCGAUUGACGCUGAUGCACGAAAGCGUGGGUAUCAAACAGGAUUAGAUACCCGUGUAGUC
RNAcentral lists this ribosomal RNA (460 nucleotides) under uncultured bacterium. RNAcentral's name for it is "partial 16S ribosomal RNA". It matches the Rfam family "Bacterial small subunit ribosomal RNA", at positions 338 to 795 of the family's 1533-position model. The record is from RNAcentral.